Paramuricea clavata is the source of this 110-nucleotide non-coding RNA. The record is from the annotation of a GenBank genome assembly. NCBI's taxonomy places the organism in Eukaryota, Metazoa, Cnidaria, Anthozoa, Malacalcyonacea, Plexauridae.
CCAUGUAAAUUUAUUACUGCAAAGCUUUCAAUCUGAUAUUAUUAGCACUGAUGAAGAUCCGGGCUUACGGAUCGAAAGCUUUGCAGUAAUAGAUUUACGUGGUGUUUCCA